AGCGAACGUUUGCGGCGGGCCUAACACAUGCAAGUCGAACGGGCUAGCAAUAGUCAGUGGCGCACGGGUGCGUAACACGUGGGUAAUCAACCCUUCAGCUCGGGAUAACGCCUUGAAAGGGGCGCUAAUACCGGAUGCGACGCGAGGAGCCUCGGCGCUUCGCGGGAAAGAUUCGCAAGGAUCACUGAAGGACGAGCCUGCGGCCCAUCAGCUAGUUGGUGAGGUAAGAGCUCACCAAGGCGAAGACGGGUAGCUGGUCUGAGAGGAUGAUCAGCCACACUGGAACUGAGACACGGUCCAGACUCCUACGGGAGGCAGCAGUGGGGAAUAUUGCGCAAUGGGCGAAAGCCUGACGCAGCCACGCCGCGUGAGCGAUGAAGGCCUGGUCGUAAGACUCUGUGGGGAGAGGAAGAAUAAAGACCUGUGAAGAAUAGGGCCGUU
RNAcentral lists this ribosomal RNA (441 nucleotides) under uncultured bacterium. RNAcentral's name for it is "bacterial SSU rRNA". It matches the Rfam family "Bacterial small subunit ribosomal RNA", at positions 30 to 473 of the family's 1533-position model. The record is from RNAcentral.